CAGUAGCCGCGGUAAUACGUAGGGUGCGAGCGUUAAUCGGAAUUACUGGGCGUAAAGCGUGCGCAGGCGGUUGUGUAAGACAGGUGUGAAAUCCCCGGGCUUAACCUGGGAACUGCGCUUGUGACUGCACAGCUAGAGUAUGGCAGAGGGGGGUGGAAUUCCAUGUGUAGCAGUGAAAUGCGUAGAGAUGUGGAGGAACACCGAUGGCGAAGGCAGCCCCCUGGGCCAAUACUGACGCUCAUGCACGAAAGCGUGGGGAGCAAACAGGAUUAGAUACCCCUGUAGUCCCUGUCUCUUAUAC
Molecule: ribosomal RNA, 301 nt
Filed under: uncultured bacterium
Lineage: Bacteria
Description: partial 16S ribosomal RNA
Rfam family: Bacterial small subunit ribosomal RNA
Source: RNAcentral